GACGAACGCUGGCGGCGUGCUUAACACAUGCAAGUCGAACGGAAAGGCCCUGCUUUUGUGGGGUGCUCGAGUGGCGAACGGGUGAGUAACACGUGAGUAACCUGCCCUUGACUUUGAGAUAACUUCAGGAAACUGGGGCUAAUACCGGAUAGGAGCUCCUGCUGCAUGGUGGGGGUUGGAAAGUUUCGGCGGUUGGGGAUGGACUCGCGGCUUAUCAGCUUGUUGGUGGGGUAGUGGCUUACCAAGGCUUUGACGGGUAGCCGGCCUGAGAGGGUGACCGGCCACAUUGGGACUGAGAUACGGCCCAGACUCCUACGGGAGGCAGAAGUGGGGAAUAUUGCACAAUGGGCGGAAGCCUGAUGCAGCAACGCCGCGUGCGGGAUGACGGCCUUCGGGUUGUAAACCGCUUUCGCCUGUGACGAAGCGUGAGUGACGGUAAUGGGUAAAGAAGCACCGGCUAACUACGUG
Molecule: ribosomal RNA, 468 nt
Filed under: uncultured bacterium
Lineage: Bacteria
Description: partial 16S ribosomal RNA
Rfam family: Bacterial small subunit ribosomal RNA
Source: RNAcentral